RNAcentral lists this ribosomal RNA (470 nucleotides) under uncultured bacterium. RNAcentral describes it as "partial 16S ribosomal RNA". It matches the Rfam family "Bacterial small subunit ribosomal RNA", at positions 28 to 507 of the family's 1533-position model. The record is from RNAcentral.
GACGAACGCUGGCGGCGUGCUUAACACAUGCAAGUCGAACGGAAAGGCCCUGCUUUUGUGGGGUGCUCGAGUGGCGAACGGGUGAGUAACACGUGAGUAACCUGCCCUUGACUUUAGGAUAACUUCAGGAAACUGGGGCUAAUACCGGAUAGGAGCUCCUGCUGCAUGGUGGGGGUGUUGGAAAGUUUCGGCGGUUGGGGAUGGACUCGCGGCUUAUCAGCUUGUUGGUGGGGUAGUGGCUUACCAAGGCUUUGACGGGUAGCCGGCCUGAGAGGGUGACCGGCCACAUUGGGACUGAGAUACGGCCCAGACUCCUACGGGAGGCAGCAGUGGGGAAUAUUGCACAAUGGGCGGAAGCCUGAUGCAGCAACGCCGCGUGCGGGAUGACGGCCUUCGGGUUGUAAACCGCUUUCGCCUGUGACGAAGCGUGAGUGACGGUAAUGGGUAAAGAAGCACCGGCUAACUACGUG